This 439-nucleotide ribosomal RNA is filed under the name uncultured bacterium. RNAcentral's name for it is "bacterial SSU rRNA". It matches the Rfam family "Bacterial small subunit ribosomal RNA", at positions 467 to 905 of the family's 1533-position model. The record is from RNAcentral.
AAAUGACGGUACCUGACUAAGAAGCCCCGGCUAACUACGUGCCAGCAGCCGCGGUAAUACGUAGGGGGCAAGCGUUAUCCGGAUUUACUGGGUGUAAAGGGAGCGUAGACGGCUUUGCAAGUCUGACGUGAAACUCCGGGGCUCAACUCCGGAACUGCGUUGGAAACUGUAAGGCUUGAGUGCCGGAGAGGUAAGCGGAAUUCCUAGUGUAGCGGUGAAAUGCGUAGAUAUUAGGAGGAACACCAGUGGCGAAGGCGGCUUACUGGACGGCAACUGACGUUGAGGCUCGAAAGCGUGGGGAGCAAACAGGAUUAGAUACCCUGGUAGUCCACGCGGUAAACGAUGAAUACUAGGUGUUGGGGGACAAAGUCCUUCGGUGCCGCCGCAAACGCAUUAAGUAUUCCACCUGGGGAGUACGUUCGCAAGAAUGAAACUCAAA